GAUGAACGCUGGCGGCGUGCCUAAUACAUGCAAGUCGAGCGAACGGACGAGAAGCUUGCUUCUCUGAUGUUAGCGGCGGACGGGUGAGUAACACGUGGAUAACCUACCUAUAAGACUGGGAUAACUUCGGGAAACCGGAGCUAAUACCGGAUGAUAUUUUGAACCGCAUGGUUCAAAAGUGAAAGACGGUCUUGCUGUCACUUAUAGAUGGAUCCGCGCUGCAUUAGCUAGUUGGUAAGGUAACGGCUUACCAAGGCAACGAUGCAUAGCCGACCUGAGAGGGGGUCCGGCAACACUGGAACUGGGACACGGUCCAGACUCCUACGGGAGGCAGCAGUGGGGAAUCUUCCGCAAUGGGCGAAAGCCUGACGGAGCAACGCCGCGGGAGGGAUGAAGGUCUUCGGAUCGUAAAACUCUGUUAUUAGGGAAGAACAUAUGUGUAAGUAACUGUGCACAUCUUGACGGUACCUAAUCAGAAAGCCACGGCUAACUACGUG
RNAcentral lists this ribosomal RNA (497 nucleotides) under uncultured bacterium. RNAcentral describes it as "partial 16S ribosomal RNA". It matches the Rfam family "Bacterial small subunit ribosomal RNA", at positions 28 to 507 of the family's 1533-position model. The record is from RNAcentral.